Molecule: long non-coding RNA, 128 nt
Organism: Sapajus apella (tufted capuchin)
Lineage: Eukaryota; Metazoa; Chordata; Mammalia; Primates; Cebidae
Exons: 3
Source: RefSeq, a predicted model, not a curated record
CUGUGCUCUUCCGUUCUAUAGUAAGUUAUCUCAAUUGAUUGUUGACAGUCAGUUACAGAUAAAACUCCUUAUUCUACUCUUUCCCCCCUUCUCACUACUGCACUUGACUAGUAUUUAAAAAAAAAAAA